RNAcentral lists this long non-coding RNA (41555 nucleotides) under Vitis vinifera (wine grape). RNAcentral describes it as "long non-coding RNA (VVIN_LNC005934)". The record is from RNAcentral. Lineage: Eukaryota; Viridiplantae; Streptophyta; Magnoliopsida; Vitales; Vitaceae.
UUGGGUUGCGUUGACAUCGGACGGUUGGAGACCAUCGGGAAUGGUUUCGAACUGAAAGGAGGGGAGACCGUCGAGGGAGUUGGGACCCCGGGCCUUGAGCAAGCGUCUGUGGUUGAACUCUGUGUUGACGAAGGUAAUAUGAAAGCCUCUGAAAUGGAGGAGCUUUGCUAGGUUUAGCAUUGGCUUGAUGUGGCCCUGAGCAGGGAAUGGAAUACAAACUGCAUGAGGCUUCUUCUCCACGGAACCCAUUUUCACACUCGCUCUCUCGCUCUCUCAAGCUUCAAUUGGCAUGCUUGGGUUCUCACCCUUUCUAUCAAUAUAUUUAAUAUUUCAAAAAACUUUUGUUGGUGGCUAUCGGAAUAAUUGAGAAAUUUUUUUGAAGAAUAUUAUGAUGGGCUCAAGUGACAAAACAAGAUAAAAGUUUUAUAGAAAGGAUAAAAAGAAACGUGGAUUGACAAAAAAAAAAAAAAAAGAGAGAGAGAAUUUAUAAGAUAUAAUCUAUCCGCGUCUAGCUUAUAAUUCUAAAUAUUGGACCUAAAAUAAAUUUUUUAUUUCGUUUUAUGUACGUCACUCGACUGAUUCAAUGUCAGCUAAAUAAUGCAGGCUGUCAAAGCUGAAGUUAUGGAAUGUGGGCCCUGUGCAGCCACAACCUCAAUUACUUCUCAUCGUACAAGUAGAAACCCAUUUCAGAAACAAGCAAGACUGCUGAAAAAACGAGCUUUGACCCAAAAUAAUGCUUUUUAAAAAAAAAUUUCAAAAAAUAAAGUGGUUUUGAAAAUAAUGUCCGAUCUAAUGCGUUUGUACCACAUAAGCCGCCACGUCAUAAAACCGUAGUUGGUGACUACGGUUUUAUUUUUCUAAAGUGUUUAGAAACCGUAGUUACCAACCACGAUUUUAACUUUUAAGUUUAAAGCCGUAGUUGGUGACUACGGUUUUAACUUUUUUUUUAAAAUGGUCAAAGCCGCAGUUGAUGACUACGGCUUUGACUUUUUUUUAAAAUGGUCAAAGCCGUAGUCACCAACUGCGGUUUUAACUUUAUAUAUAUUUAUAUAUAACUUUAAUUUUUUUAAUAAAAAUAUUAUAUUAUUUUGAUUUUAAAUAUACUUAUUUCAUUAUUUUAAAAAUUAUAAUAUACGAAAUUAAAUAAUUGAUAUUUUUAAUUUGAUAUAAAAAUAUAUUUUUGAAUUUUAUUAAAAUAAUAUGCACUAUAUUUAAUAUAAAUAUAAUUAAUUAAUUAAAAUAAAAUAUAAUAAAUUAUAUUUAUUUAAAAUAAAUAAAUUAUAAAUGCCUAUUUAGAAAAAUAAAAAAGUAAUAUAAAUUAUUAAUUAAUAUAANNNNNNNNNNNNNNNNNNNNNNNNNNNNNNNNNNNNNNNNNNNNNNNNNNNNNNNNNNNNNNNNNNNNNNNNNNNNNNNNNNNNNNNNNNNNNNNNNNNNNNNNNNNNNNNNNNNNNNNNNNNNNNNNNNNNNNNNNNNNNNNNNNNNNNNNNNNNNNNNNNNNNNNNNNNNNNNNNNNNNNNNNNNNNNNNNNNNNNNNNNNNNNNNNNNNNNNNNNNNNNNNNNNNNNNNNNNNNNNNNNNNNNNNNNNNNNNNNNNNNNNNNNNNNNNNNNNNNNNNNNNNNNNNNNNNNNNNNNNNNNNNNNNNNNNNNNNNNNNNNNNNNNNNNNNNNNNNNNNNNNNNNNNNNNNNNNNNNNNNNNNNNNNNNNNNNNNNNNNNNNNNNNNNNNNNNNNNNNNNNNNNNNNNNNNNNNNNNNNNNNNNNNNNNNNNNNNNNNNNNNNNNNNNNNNNNNNNNNNNNNNNNNNNNNNNNNNNNNNNNNNNNNNNNNNNNNNNNNNNNNNNNNNNNNNNNNNNNNNNNNNNNNNNNNNNNNNNNNNNNNNNNNNNNNNNNNNNNNNNNNNNNNNNNNNNNNNNNNNNNNNNNNNNNNNNNNNNNNNNNNNNNNNNNNNNNNNNNNNNNNNNNNNNNNNNNNNNNNNNNNNNNNNNNNNNNNNNNNNNNNNNNNNNNNNNNNNNNNNNNNNNNNNNNNNNNNNNNNNNNNNNNNNNNNNNNNNNNNNNNNNNNNNNNNNNNNNNNNNNNNNNNNNNNNNNNNNNNNNNNNNNNNNNNNNNNNNNNNNNNNNNNNNNNNNNNNNNNNNNNNNNNNNNNNNNNNNNNNNNNNNNNNNNNNNNNNNNNNNNNNNNNNNNNNNNNNNNNNNNNNNNNNNNNNNNNNNNNNNNNNNNNNNNNNNNNNNNNNNNNNNNNNNNNNNNNNNNNUAUUAAAAAAAUUAAAGUUAUAUAUAAAUAUAUAUAAAGUUAAAACCGCAGUUGGUGACUACGGCUUUGACCAUUUUAAAAAAAAGUCAAAGCCGUAGUCACCAACUACGGCUUUAAACUUAAAAGUUAAAACCGUGGUUGGUAACUACGGUUUCUAAACACUUUAGAAAAAUAAAACCGUAGUCACCAACUACGGUUUUAUGACGUGGCGGCUUAUGUGGCACAAACGCAUUAGAUCGGGCAUUAUUUUCAAAACCACUUUAUUUUUUGGAAUUUUUUUUUAAAAAGCAUUAUUUUGGGUCAAAGCUCUGAAAAAACAAUGUUAUGAAAUUGGAUGGAGCCACUGAAUUAACAAAGGUAAAAAAUCGUUUAGCGCAUUAGGAUUGGGUGAGAUCAACCUAGCUGCCCUCUUUCUCCUCUGCUUAGUGUAUUAUCUAGACCCGAUGCAGGUGGGUGUUAUUAUUAAAAACUUGAAGAUUUUACUAGGUUUUCAAUGACAAGUGACAACUAAAUAAGCUAUUAGUUAACUCUUUUAAAAUUUAUUUAUACUUACAAAAAAAAAAUGGAACCAAUAAAAAUAAAAUAAAAUAUUCAUCCUUCGUAACAUCUUACCAAAUAGAUUACCAUUGCCAUAAUAAGGUUUUUAGCACCCUCUCUCCCAUCACUUUUUUUAUAUAUUCCACACAAUUAUUGGUAUUAAAGAACUUUCAAAUACUUGAAAAGUCUAAUAAGGUAUAGAUGACAUGGUUAUAGAAUGAUUUAGAAUUUUUAAAUUAAAUAAAUUUAUUGUGAUAAAUAAAAAAUCUAAUGGUAACCAAAUUCAACAUUUCAAGAACUUUUAAAAGGAAUGAAAAAAAAAAAGAAAAAAAAGUACAUCAUUUAGUGAGGACUUCAAAGUAUCUUAGCUUAUAGAGAAACUUACUUCUUGGUCCUAUUUUGCUCAUUCUCUUAGAGAUAAGCAAAGAGAUUUAAAUUUGAUCAAAGAAAUUAAUUUUUUGAGAAUUGAAGAAAAUCAUAGGUCAAAUAUUAAGUAACCAAAUGAAAUGAUGUCCAAGGUGAUGGACCUAAUAGAGACUUCUAAUUAACAUAUCAAAUUCUAAAAAUAAAUUAUUGAAUAAAAUUUUUAUAUUAUUUUUAAAAAAUAAAAUUUUGUUAAUUAAACAACUUAUUAAUAAACAUAAUGUGUAUAUUGAGUUCAGAUUCUACAAACUUAAACUUUUAAGAUAGUUGGUAAUUAAUUCAAUAUAGUAUCAGAACUUAGUUUGUUGGAAGAUUAUGCACAAGCCGGGGAGUGUUAAUAAGUAAGUCAUAAUUCUAUUAACACAAGAUAAUUAAUUAAUUAAUUAAAAGAUGAUAUAUUUAGCAUUAUCAUUAAUGAACAUGGAUGAAAAUAGAUUAAAUUUGUUGAAAGCACAUGGUUGGGCUUGGAACUAGUGGAACUGACACGAUGGCAACAUGUACCUAGAAUUGGCACCUCUUUUAAUCAUAUCUGUAGAUAUUUUAUUUCAUAGUCUCUUUUUAUAAAAUAAUAAUAAUAAUAAAUAAAUAAUCACGUUGCUGAAAGCUUGACACCAACAUCAUCAAUUGGUUGGGCCUGGAAAGAGGAACGCCAGUGGACCGAUGUUGAUUAGUGGCCCAUCACCAUUCAUUGCCCAACUAAUACUGCCGUUACUACCGAGUACCGACAAUGACCAAAGAUGAAUAAACGUACACGUACAUUUUGAAGUAAACGUUGACCUAUUUUAUUUUAUUUAUUAAAAAAAUUAUUUUAAAUUUUCAUAUUUUUGGUUAUAAUAAUUUUACUAAUAGUGGUAUCAUGCAAAAAUAUGCCUGAAAAAGUUGAAAAGGAUUCGUUUGACCUUAAAAAAUUAAAAACAAAGAAUAAAAUUAAGAAAGUUAAAUAAAAAUAUAGAAGUGAAAAAAAAAAAAAAGGAAUUUUAGUUUAUAUAUUUGUAUUUAUUUUACUCUAAUAAAAGGCUUGAUUAUUCUUUGAAAAAAUUGAAAUCAAUAUGACAAUGGAUUGGCAUCAAUAUUUUAAUUCGAAGAAGAUAAUACAAAGAUUUUCAAAUCCACCAAGUGAAAAAGCAAAAUCGUGAGAUCAAAACCAUAUCAACUCUCAUUAAAAGAAACGAGAGAGGGAGCUACCUUUGUAUUUUAAAUUUAAAUUUAAUAAUAAUUAUUGAUUUAUUCUUAUUAUAAUCAAGAUAUUUUCGGAUAUUUUAUAUAAAUAUUAUGUAUUUUUAAUCUUUAAUCUCUAUCAUAGUGUGGACCCCGCAUUUCGGCUCAUGCGCUUUCAAUCGCGAGCUCGAUUUUUAUUUGAAAAAAAUGAUUUAAUUGGUUGAAAAAAUUAACUUGGAGUCGCCACUUAUUUUUGUUUUAUUUUUUAAGGGUAAACAAAAUAAGAAAGAAAACUCUAAGUGUAACUCCUUAUUUAGAAAAUGUGAUCUGCGAAAAAACUGGAUCGGGUUCGGGGGUCAGGUUACUUAUCGGGAAGGUACGGUAAAAACCGUAGCACCUCUCUAAGUCCUUAAAAACGGGUCUCUACUAAUAAAAUGGAGCAAUCAUGACAAUUGAUUAAUCAAACAUGGAUACUAAUGAAUAUCACUCAAAACAAAAUAAUUGAAUGAUUAAGAGAGGUAAAUAAUGUACUUGAGUGAUGAACCGGUUUACUUCAUGGGAAACAAAUGUUAGCAAAUAAACACAGAAUAGUCGCAUGCAUGUAUUAGAGUAGAAUAAAUCAAUCAUGUAUAACAAUCAAGUCAACCAAUCAAUCAGUCAAUCAUAAAAAUCACGUAUGUGGGGCCCCCACCAAAGCCCGCUCUAACUUGCACUAAUUAGCCUCACAAAUUCCAUUAUUCUGAAAUUAUGAAAAUUGCAUUCAUGUUUAUGUAAAGUCAAGAAGAACAAAAGAUUAUUUGAAACCCGAAUGGAAUUGAAAAACAGUUAGAGAGAAAAAUGGAUUUUUGAAAUUUAUUUUAAAAUUGGAGUCUUGGGAAUUAAAUUUAAUAAUUGAAAAUUUGGAAAUUAAAUUUGAAAGAAAUUGAAAUUUUAAAAGUUAUUUGAGAGUUUGGAAUUUUUAAAAAUUAAAUUUAAGAAAUGGAGUUUUAAAAAUUAAUUUUUGAAAGAAAUUGGAGUCUUGGAAAUUGAAUUUAAGAAUGAGAAUUUUGGAAGUUAUUUAAAUGUUGAAUUUUUAAAAAUAAACAAAUAAAUAGGUGAGUAAAAUGAUAAUGAUUAAAUAAAUUGAUAUGAAAAUUGAAAUUUCGGAAAUUGGAAUUUAGAUUUAAAAAUCGGAAUUUUGAAAAUUUAUUUUAAAAAAGUGAAUUUCAAAAAAUAAGUAAGUAGAUAAAUAAACGAAGUAAUAAUGAUGAAAAUAAUAAUGAUUAAAUAAAUAAACGUGAAGAUUGGAAAUUUUGAAAUGAGAAAUUAAAUUUGGAAACCGAGAUUUUCAAGAAUUUGUUAAUAGAUAAAAUUUUAAAAAUAAUCAAUUAAAUAAAUAAAAAAAGUAAUAAUAAUAACGAAAAAUUAUAAUUAAAUAAAUUAACAUGAAUAGUUGAAUUUUUCUUUUUCUUUUUUAAGUUGGAAAUUAAAUUCGAAAAAAACUAAAUUUUGAAGGAAAUUAUUUUUGGCAUGGAAUUUUUAUAUAUAUGCAUAAUAUAUAUAUAUAUAUAUACUUGGGAGGAUGACACGUAGGGUGCCAAUCAUAGGACUUUUCUCAAUAGUCCAGUAAUUUAAAAAAGUUAUGCUUAAAUUAUUGUAGUAGAAGAAGUUAUUAUAAAUAUAUGGUAGUUUUUGCCACAUAGAAGAGAGGAGAGAGGGUGAGAGAGGAGAGAGGAGAUAGUAGAGAGGGUGAACGGAUAAAUUUUUUUAAAAAAGGGAACUCGUCUUUUGAAGAGACGAGUUCCAUGAAAUAUAUAUAUAUAUAUAUAUAUAUAUAUAUAUAUAUUUUAAAAAAAAUUCUUAUUUACUCAAGGGAACUCGUCUCUUCAAGAGACGAGUUCCAUGAAAAAAGACAAGGGAAAGACGAGUUCCCAGGGAAAAAAAAAAAAUAUUUUUUUAAAUAUAUUUUUUAUUUAAAAAAAUCCUAAAUUAAAUUAAAAAAAAAUUUCCUAAAGGGAACUCGUCUGUUUGGGAAAUUUUUUUUUUUAAAUAUAUUUUUUAUUUAAAAAAAAUCCCAAAUUAAAAAAAAAAAAAUUCCAAAUUCCUAAAGAGAACUCGUCUCUUCAAGAGACGAGUUCCCAUGUAAAAAAAAAAAUAUUUUUUAAAAAUAUAUAUAUUUAAAAAAAAAAAUUCUUAAAGGGAACUCGUCACUUGAAGAGUCAAGAGACUAGUUCCAUGGGAAAAAAAAUAUUUUUUGUUUAAAAAAAAUCCCAAAAAAAAAAAAAUCCUAAAGGGAACUCGUCUCUUCAAGAGACGAGUUCCCAUAGGAAAUUUUUUUUUUUUAAAAUAUAUUUUUUAUUUAAAAAAAAUUUCAAAUUAAAAAAAAAAAAUCGAAGAGAUGAGUUCCCAUGGGAAAAAAAAUAUUUUUUAAAAAAUAUAUUUUUUAUUUAAAAAAAUCCCAAAUUAAAAAAAAAAAAAAAAAAACAAUUCCUCAAAAUUCCUAAAGGGAACUUGUCUCUUGAAGAGACGAGUUNNNNNNNNNNNNNNNNNNNNNNNNNNNNNNNNNNNNNNNNNNNNNNNNNNNNNNNNNNNNNNNNNNNNNNNNNNNNNNNNNNNNNNNNNNNNNNNNNNNNAAUUCCUAAAGGGAACUUGUCUCUAGAAGAGACGAGUUCCCAUUUAAAAAAAAAUAUUUUUUUUCCCAUGGGAACUCAUCUCUUCAAGAGACAAGUUCCCUUUAGGAAUUUUUUUUUUUUUUAAAAUAUAUAUAUUUUUAAAAUAAAUAUUUUUUUUACAUGGGAACUCGUCUCUUCUUGAGGAAUUGUUUUUUUUUUUUUUAAUAAAUAUAUUUUAAAAAUAUAUAUAUAUAUUUUUACAUGGGAACUCGUCUCGAGACGAGUUCCCUUUGGAAUUGUUGUUUUUUUUUUUUUUUUUUUACAUGGGAACUCGUCUCUUGAAGAGACGAGUUCCUUUGAGGAAUUGUUUUUUUUUUUUUUUUUUUAUAAUAUAUAUAUAUAUUUUUUUUAAAAAUAUUUUCCCUUUAGGAAUUUUUUUUUCUUUUUUUUAAUUUGGAAUUUUUUUUAAAUAAAAAAUAUAUUUAAAAAAAAAAUAUUUUUUUUCCCAUGGGAACUCAUCUCUUGAGUUCCCUUUAGGAAUUUUUUUUUUUUAAAUAUAUAUAUUUUUAAAAAAUAUAUAUAUUUUUUUACAUGGGAACUCGUCUCUUGAAGAGACGAGUUCCCUUUAGGAAUUUUGAGGAAUUGUUUUUUUUUUAAUAUAUAUAUUUAAUUAGGAAAUUUUUUUUUAAAAUAUAUAUACUUUUAAAAAAAUAUAUAUUUUUUUAUAUGAGAACUCGUCUUUUUUUUUUUUUUUUUUUUUUUAAUAUAAAAAAUUUUUUUUUUAAAAAAAAAAUUUUUACAUGGGAACUCGUCUCUUGAAGAGACGAGUUCCCUUUGGAAAUGUUUUUUUUUUUUUUUUUUUUUUUUUAAAUGAAAAAAUGAUUUUAAAAAAGGAAUGGUUAUUUAAAAAAAGAUCUAUUUUUUUUCCCAANNNNNNNNNNNNNNNNNNNNNNNNNNNNNNNNNNNNNNNNNNNNNNNNNNNNNNNNNNNNNNNNNNNNNNNNNNNNNNNNNNNNNNNNNNNNNNNNNNNNUUUUUUUUUUUUUUUUUUUUUUUUAAAUAAAAAAAUAUAUUUAAAAAAUAUAUAUAUAUUUAAAAAAAUAUAUAUUCUUUUUCCCAAAGGGAACUCGUCUCUUCAAGAGACGAGUUCCCUUUAGGAAUUUUUUUUUCUUUUUUAUAAUUUGGGAUUUUUUUUAAAUAAAAAAUAUAUUUAAAAAAAAAUAUUUUUUUUUCCCAUGGGAACUCGUCUGAAGUAGGAUUUUUUUUUUUUAAAUAUAUAUAUUUUUUAAAAAUAUAUAUUUUUUUUUUACAUGGGAACUCGUCUCUUGAAGAGACGAGUUCCCUUUAGGAUUUUUUUUUUUUUUUUUUUAAUUUGCGAUUUUUUUUAAAUAAAAAAUAUAUUUUAAAAAAAAUAUUUUUUUUCCCCAUGGGAACUCAUCUCUUGAAGAGACGAGUUCCCUUUAGGAAAAUUUUUUUUUUAUGGGAUUUUUUUUAAAUAAAAAAUAUAUUUAAAAAAAAAAAUUCCCAUGGGAACUCGUCUCUUCAAGAGACGAGUUCCCUUUAGUUCCAAAUUGUUUUUUUUUUUUUUUUUUUUCUAAUUUGUGAAUUUUUUAAAAAUAUAUAUAUUUUUUUUAAUGGGAACUUGUCUCUUGAAGAGACGAGUUUCCUUGAAGAAUUGUCUUUUUUUUUUUUUUUAAUUUGAGAAUUUUUAAAAAAAUAUAUAUAUAUUUUUUUUCAUGGAACUCGUCUCUUCAAGAGACGAGUUCCCUUAAGUAAAUGGAGAAUUUUCUUAAAAAAAAAUAUAUAUUUUUUUUCAUGGAACUCGUCUCUUGAAGAGACGAGUUCCCUUUUUUAAAAAAAUUUAUCCGUUCACCCUCUCUCCUCUCUCCUAUGUGGCAAAAACUACCAUAUAUUUGUAAUAAAUUCUUCUACUACAAUAGUUUAAGCAUAACUUUUUUAAAUUACUGUACUAUUGAAAAAACUCCGCCAAUCAUAGCCCAAACAUGCCAACCUAUGCUUUAUGUAUGCCAUCAAAUGCAAAUCAUGCAGGUGGGACCCAUUCCAAAAUUCAUUUCUCCAUAAAGUUCUCUGCCAACAUCUUUUCAAGCACCAACAUUGUUUCAUCAAACUUCCCAACCACUACUGGCAUAAUAAAGAGCCCCAUCUGCAGUCACUACCGGCACUUAGAAACGGGAAAAAGUGCAAACCUGAACAUAUAAUGUGGCUCGUCCACCUCCAAAGACUCGACACAAAUGUCCAUUUCCGACAUUACUCCAUCAUCAUCACGAAAUAGAGCCAUAUACAUGGGAAAAGAAAUAAAAAGAAAUAAAUAAAUAAAAUAAAAAAACGCGAAAAGAAACAAAGCAUGAACCUAGCUAUGUAUCAUGGGCAUUCAAAAUGCUAGGAACAAAUGGAAUCCAAAGGAAAUAAGAGCGUGAUUUCGAUACAUUAAGUUUAGAAAAGAACAAAGCAUAAGAUAUUUACAAGAGAUCAAAACAUCCAAAGAUAAGACCUAAAACAAAGCAUGCUUAUAAAGAGCAGAUCUAACUAAGCAAAUAAGCAGGUGUCACACCCUUGAAAAUCACCUUAGAUUUGUCACCUGGUGCGCGGUACUAAGGACCCUUCCUUAGCCAACCUUUCUUCCCAGCCUUCUCAAACGCACACAAACAAUAGCAAACCAAAGAAAACAGGGACACAACGAGAUUAAAGGAAAUUCUUCCCAACUUGUAUUAAUCUCAAUUGCAAGAUACAAAAUUGUUUCCCUGAGUCGGAGGGCAAUGCUUACAUCCCAAGCAUUCAGAGAUACUUUCCAUUUUCUCUCUCCUCUCUCUCUCAAGGCUGCAGGAGCCCUUUUAAAAGACUCACCCUACAGUUUUUCCCUUAGUGGUUAUGCAACCGCCCAUAACCCCCCCUGAAGUGCUUGCACAACCACCUACUACCCAGAUGGUGGUCUCUCUAAAAACUGCCACGUGGCUUUCUCUCUCUUGGACACGCAGACGUCCCCCUUUCGACGCGUGGCAUCACUCAUUCCACCCGGAUAUCUCAUAUCCGGAAUUCUGUCCGGCCGACGUUCCAUCUUCUCCGGAUGUAUCACAUCCUGAAUUCUGUCCGUCGACAUUCUCCCUUAUCCGGAUAUCUCACAUCCGGAAUCCUGUCCGGCCGAAGUUCCAACUUCUCCUGGUAUCUCACAGCCGCCAUUCUGUUUGGCUGAAGUUUCAACUUCUCCGGAUGUCUCACAGCCGCCAUUCUAUUUAGCCAAAGUUCCAACUUUUCCGGAUGUCUCACAGCCGCCAUUCUGUUCGACCGACGUUCCGCCUUCUCCGGAUGUCUCACAUCCGGCGCCUGUCCGGCGUCGCCGUUCCGCCUAGGCUCUCAUGGGUGCAAGGCCUACCCAUGAGGCCUAUUCCUCCGGGUCUGAAUCAAGUGGCUAAGGGGUUGACAAUCCACCCCCGCCUGCUGAAGUCGACGUCCUCGUCGACUUAGACUGCCAGUAUGCCUGGACCUCCUUCUCAAAUUGCCAUAAAGUAGCAUCUCUUUCCCAUGAAGCUUCGAUUUCUGAAAUCCCCUUCCACUGAACCAAAAAAUCAGUUCGCCGGUUCUUUAUGUUGUGUCCCAUGGUCCUAUGAUCCAAGAUCUUCUCUAUCUCCCGAUCAAAUUGUUUCAUGACCAAGGGAGGGGCUCGCUUUGUUUGCACCAUCUCUGCAUCCAGAUCCUCAUGGUAAGGCUUCAGAAAGCUUACAUGGAAAGUCGGGUGAAGCUUAAGCCUCUCAAGCAGCUUCAACAUGUAUGCCACCUGCCCAACCCGCUUUAUUACUUCGAAUAGCCCGUCAUACUUUGGAAUUAGACCCCUCUGCCUUGUCUUGCUGCUGAUCCUCUUCCAGAUCUGAGGAGUCAAUUUCAGGAUGACCCUGUCCCCAACCUAAAAUUCUAAGGGUCUACGGUCACGAUCUGCAUACUUCUUCAUAAGUCUAGCUGCAUUUUCUAGACUGUCCCGUGCUUCAUCGAACAUCUCCUACUGGGACUGAGCCAACUUGUAUGCUGCAGGACUACUUUCUCCUGUUUUCUUCUUAGCCACCUCCAAAGGCAUCCGUGGCUACACCCCAAUAGCUAGCUCAAAAGGACUCAUCCUUAUCGCUUAGCUUCUUUGCAAGUUGUAACACAACUGUGCAGUGUCCAUCAAGUCCACCCAAUUCUUCUGUGUUGUCGUCACAUAGUGCCUGAGGUAUUCCUCCAGCAAGGCAUUGAUCCUCUCUGUCUGCCCAUCAGUCUGAGGAUGGUUAGCUGUGGAGAAUUUCAACUCUGAACCCAAGAGUUUGAACAGCUCAACCCAAAACUUGCCUAUAAAUCUUGUAUCCCGAUCACUGACUAUGUCCCGUGGCAACCCAAAGUGCUUGACAACGUUGCUAAAGAACAGCCUAGCCGCUUCCUCCGCAGGGCAAGCAUCAGGUGCAGGUAUAAACACAACAUACUUAGAAAAUCUAUCUACCACAACAAAGACAAAUUUGAAAUCACGAACCUUUGGGAACCCAGUGAUAAAAUCCAUGGAGAUGUUCUCCCAAGGUCUUUUUGGAAUGGGGAGGGGCUACAGCAACCCUGCAGCCUUCUUCCUUUCAGUCUUGUCCAUCUGACAAACCAAGCAGGACUUCACAUAGGCCUGCACGUCCUUCACCCAUCUUAAGCCAGUAAUAGGAUCUGGCUAAUAAGGCCAGAGUCCUUUCCUCUCCGGGAUGGCCUGCCCAUUUCGAAUCAUGAGUUUCUUGCAACAAAUCCUUUCUCAGGCCACCUGCAGGAACAUACCAUCUUUCCCCUUUUGCCACAAGGAGGUCACCCUUUAGCCAAUACUUCCUGAUCACUCCCUCCUUUACUUGCUGCUUCAACUUGCCAUAUGCAGCAUCCUACUCUGCAACUAGCUUGAUCUUCUCAUUGAAGUCAGAGAUGACUUCAUAGAGGGUCGUAAUGUAGGCAAUUACCUCCUUCCUACUCAAGGCAUUAGCCACAGUGUUAUGUCUUCUUGGUCGAUGCAGCCACUCGAAUCUGAAGUCGGCUAGGAACUCCUGUCAUCGUGCUUGUCUGGGACUCAGCUUUUUCUGGGUCUUGAAGAAGGUGUUGGCCACAUUAUCCGUGACCACUGUGAAGAUACUUCCCAGCAAGUAAUGCCUCCACUGCUGCAGGCAAUGCACCACAGCCGUCAUCUCCUUCUCGUGAGUGGAGUACCUCUGUUCUGCAUUAUUCAGUUUCCUGCUUUCAAACGCCACAGGGUGCCCUUCCUGCACCAAGACUCCACCCAAGGCUCUAUCAGAGGAUUUGUUUGGACUUCAAAGGGUAAGUCCAAGUCUGGAAACCGCAGCACAGGCUCCGUGGAGGUGGCUUCCUUCAAGCCUUCAAAGGUCAUCUGACACUGCCGGUUCCAGUCCCAUGAGUUCUCCUUUUUCAAUAGGUCAGUAAGGGGAGACACCAUCUUUGAAUACCCCUUAAUGAACCUUCUAUAGUAGUUGGCCAAGCCAAGGAAGGACCGCAACUCAGUCACUUUGGUAGGGACCGACCAUUCCAUAAUAGCCUGCACCUUGCCUUUGUCUAUCCUGAACAGUCCUGCACUGAUCUUAUGUCCUAGAAAUGUGAUCUCCUCAUGAGCAAACUCACAUUUAUCUGGUUUCACAUAAAGCCUAUUCUCCCUCAAUCUCUGAAACACCAAUCUCAAGUGUUUCUCAUGUUCUGUUAGAGUUUUCCUGUAAACUACAAUGUCAUCUAGAUACACCACCACAAAGGCAUCCAAAUAAUCAAACAGAACAUCAUUCAUUAAAUUUCAGAAUGUAGCAGGAGCAUUUGUCAACCCAAAAGGCAUUACAAGAGACUCGUAUGAGCCAUACCGAGUUACACAAGUCGUUUUCCCCUCAUCUCCUACUGCAAUCCGCACUUGCCAAUAACCUGAUCUCAGGUCCAACUUGGUAAAGUAAGAAGCUUUUGACAAUCUGUCAAAUAGUUCAGCAGCCAAGGGGAUCGGGUACUUGUUCUUGAUGGUCACCUUGUUGAGGGCUCUGUAGUCCACACACAUGCGGAGUGAGCCAUCCUGCUUCUUUUGAAACAGCACUGGUGCACCAUAUGAGGCCUUGGAGGGCUGGAUCAAACCUGCAUCCAGCAACUCCUUCAGUUGCUUACGUAACUCCAGCAACUCUAUAGGAGGCAUCCGGUAAGGGGCUCGAGCCGGGGCCUUUGUUCCAGGUAGCAGCUUGAUUUUGUGGUCAAUGGGUCGCCGAGGUGGCAACUCCUUGGGGAGUUCUGCAGGCAUCACAUCUUUGAACUCUUUAAGGAUCUUAACCACUAAGUCAGGGACUUCCACAGACUGUCCCUCAUUGAUCUCGAUCAAGGCUGCAAUAUAGGUCUCCUGGCCCUUCUUCAAUCCUUUCUUCAAUUGAAUAGCAGACAACAUCUCAGGCUGUCCCUUACCACCAUCCUUUGUCCUUAAGGCCUUUACGAAGCAAGACUGCUUCUCUUCUAACACCACCAGUCCACCAAGAUGUAGAAUCAGGGCUACCUUGGCCCUUAAGAGAAAGUCUACACCAAGGAUCAAGUCAAAGUCAUCCAAAGGUACACAAAGUAAACUACACGUACCCUUCCAGUCACCGAUUUGCAUAGGGACAUUCUUGGCUACCCCAUGAAUCUUCUGGGCUUGGCUAUUGACUGCCUUGAUCUGACUGGUAUCCUCCUUCAAUUUAAGUCCCAACCUGGUUGCUUCUCUAGUGGCCACGAAAUUGUGAGUGGCACCACUGUCCACCAAGGCCUUCACUUGCACACCAUUCACCACUGCAUGGACGUGCAUUAGAGACUUCUGAACUGGAGUCUCACCAAGAAUCACGUUCAGAAGUUUCAGGGGGUUGACUCUGGGAGGAGUCUUUGGGUCAGAGUCUCCCUUGUCAUCUGCAGUCACCAGGGCUGAGAGUUUCUCUAUUUUGGGGUAGUCUUUGGCUCGAUGUGGGCCGUUGCAGAUGAAGCAUCCCAUCAUUCGAGUGGUCUGCUGCACAACCUUUGUGGUUUUCUCCACUGGUUUUUCUCCUACAGCAGGCUUUUUGUUCUGCUUCUUCCACCCAGACUCCUUAGUCUUGCCCUCAUUCUUAGCCUUCUUGCCUCCUUCUGACAUGGGUCUCUACGUGGUGGAGACGACUCCGCCCAUCUUGUAGUCCACCAAGCAGUCUGCUGCAACCAUGGUAGUAGGGAGAUCACGAAUCCCUUGUCUCCUGAGUUCCGUCUGAGCCCAUCCUUGCAACCCAGACAUGAAAUUGAACAGCUUGUCCUCCUCGGACAUGUUCUUAAUGUCCAACAUCAAGGAACUGAACUCCUUGACAUAUUCUCUCACAGACCCAGUGUGUCUGAGCCUUUUUAGUGUCUCUUUGGCCACCCAAGCCGUGUUGGUGGGAAGGAAUUGAUCCUUCAAUUCCUUCUUUAGAGUCUCCCAAGUGGUGAUUUGGGGCCUUCCAGACUCUGCAUCGUCCUCCACCCUGGUUCGCCACCAUAGUUUGGCAUCACCAGUUAAAUACAUACUGGUGAUGGAAACCUUCUCGCCAUCAGGAACAUGAGCAGCCUUAAAGAACUGCUCGAUGUCCCACAAGAAGUUCUCCAGUUCCUUCGCAUUUCUAUUGUCAUUGAAGCCCUUAGGCUCAGGGACUCGAACCUUAGAAGAAGAGGCUUCAGGGCCUGAGGCAAAUCCCUGCAACACCGCCUUCUUAAGGAUGGCGAUGUCUUUUCCAUAGGACUGCAGGGUCUCCUUGAAGUCAUCAAUCCGGGACUGCAUCUCGGUUUUAAACUCAGCCAAUUUCUCCUCAAAGAAAUUGUCAUGGGACUCCAACAUACUCCUCUGAGCUUGGACUUCUCUCAUGGUGUGCUCUGCCCACGAAGCCACUGUGCCAUCCUCACUUGGCCAUUCUCCCAGCGCCUCUUCUAUUCGAGUCAUCCUCUCCCGUAAGGCCUCCAUUGCACUACCACCAGCCAUCUUUGGUGCUUGCUCUGAUACCAAUUGUCACACCCUCGAAAAUCACCUUAGAUUUUUCACCUGGUGCGCAGUACUAAGGACCCUUCCGUAGCCAACCUUUCUUCCCAGCCUUCUCAAACGCACACAAACAAUAGCAAACCAAAGAAAACAGGGACACAACGAGAUUACAGGAAAUCCUUCCUAACUUGUAUUAAUCUCAACUACAAGAUACAAAAUUGUUUCCCUGAGUCGGAGGACAAUGCUUACAUCCCAAGCAUUCAGAGAUACUUUCCAUUUUCUCUCUCCUCUCUCUUUCAAGGCUGCAGGAGCCCUUUUAAAAGACUCACCCUGCAGUUUUUCCCUUGGUGGUUAUGCAACCGCCCAUAAGCCCCCCUGAAGCACUUGCACAACCACCCACUACCCAGAUGGUGGUCUUUUUAAAAACUGCCACGUGGCUUUCUCUCUCUUAGACACGCAGACGUCCCCCUUUCGACGCGUGGCAUCACUCAUUCCACCCGAAUAUCUCAUAUCCGGAAUUCUGUUCGGCCGACGUUCCAUCUUCUCCGGAUGUAUCACAUCCGGAAUUCUGUCCGUCGACAUUCCCCCUUAUCCGGAUAUCUCACAUCCGGAAUCCUGUCCAACCGAAGUUCCAACUUCUCCGGGUAUCUCACAGCCGCCAUUCUGUCCGGCCGAAGUUCCAACUUCUCCGGAUGUCUCACAGCCGCCUUUUCCGGAUGUCUCACAUCCGGCGCCUGUCCGGUGCCGCCGUUCCACCUAGGCUCUCAUGGGUGCAAGGCCUACCCAUGAGGCCUAUUCCUCCGGGUCUGAAUCAAGUGGCUAAGGGGCUAACAGCAGGCCAGUAGUCAUACCUGGAAUGAUCUCCUCAAGCCUGGAGUUUCUAGGAUACCCGCUUGGCUUCCCUUUCUUUUUCAGCUAGAAAAUACUCCAUGCUGCUCGUUUUUUUUUUUUUUUUUGUCCGAAAAUCCUAUCUUUUCCUUUCUUUAGCUACUCUCUCUUCCUCCCCCGCUGCUCCCGUUUUUUUUCCUUUUUUUACCAUUUCUCCAACUCUGCCCAAAAACCAGUCUCUACUCUGUCCUCUUCUUGCUGCCCAAACAGCCUCACCUCAAUCUUCCUUUUCCCGCUGCUUCCCAUCAUCUCAAUCCCCUCCAAUCUCAACCACUCUCCUAAAAAAAAAAUAUCCAUACUUUUCUCCUUGGGGUCCCUAGCUAACCGGGGGGUCUACACAUAGAUUACAUAUUCAAAAAUAUUUCGUUUAUAUUUAAUAUUUUAGUGAUCUUCUCAAAAAAUAUUUUUUUCCAUAUCAAUCUAAAGAUGUUAUUCCUUUUUAAAUGAUAGAAAAAAUAUGAAUAUAAAAGAUUUAUAAAGUAAUGGGAUAAGUAAAUAAAAAAGAUUUAGAUGAUUUAUGGUAUAAAUAACAUUAAUAUAUUUCCUGUGGGACCCUCUCUGCAAGGCUGUCCCGAAGUCCUUCAUGUUCACCGCCGUUUGGGAACGUAUGCCAUCUAGGAAGACACUUUCAGUCAUCUAGCCCAACGGCCCGAAGGUUGUGUGAUUGGUUCGUCCCAAAGUAGGGUUAAACAGACAAUUCUUGCGUAGAUAUAGCAAGAUCAGCGUCGACUGUUCUAUAUGCAUUGACUAAAAAUGAAAGGGAAUGGGAAAUGUUGGGGGGCAACAGUCACCGUAGUGAAAGAUGGUGUGGUGAAGAGAAAAUGAAAGAAAUAAGAAGAGAAAGAAAAAAUAUAUAAAAAAAAAAUGAAGAAGAGAUAAGUGUUGAUAGCAAAAUUCCCCCACUACAGUAGCAGUUACCAGCAACAGAAUCUCAAUUAACUCAUUACAGCGAUUCUUCCUUCCUCCUGCAAAAAAGAUGUCCAGAUGGGUUGUCCGGACACAUCCUCCGAUGAUUAAGUUAGUCUUUUGGAAGUUAUUUGAAAAAAGAUUCUUUCUUUGGGAGUAUUGCUCCAUGCUUUUUUUUCAAGGAUGCUUACCCCCUCCUUCUCUUUGUGAGAGUCUCCUUAGAGUUUAUAUAUGAGUCAGAGAGUAUGGUCUCGCUGUGCUAAUGGGUCCCAUAGUCAUGAUUGCGACUCAUAGGGUGGUGAAGCAAUCAUGACCCUUCUGGUGCGAGGUGAUGGCUGUCAGAAGGGUAUUUAGGCGGCGGUUGUCACCUCAAUUUAUGAUUUUCGGUACCGAGAAUGCGUCAGACAAUCUGAAAAGAUUUGGGAAUGUCUUGUCAAGCGUAUCUUGUAUUGAAGAUGAGUGAUAGUUCAGGAGACUUGGUCGACAGUGUUGUCGAAGUUUGCUUCUUGAUUGUGGGCAUAAAUGAAUCCGACAAAUCGCGAGUGUCUGACGAGUCAAGUUGUCCAGGUAAUCUGAAUCGUCGGUUGCGGAUGUACUCCAGGUAAGUGUCGCCAGCGGAUCCGGACAUGUCUGACCGGGGAAGUUGAAUCACACUUCUCUUCCAUCCGAUGGCAGGCGCCGGCUGUGAAAUAUCCGGAGAAGGUGAAACGUCGGCCGUACAGAAUUCCCCCCCUCGAGUGGAAUGAGCGAUGCCACAUGCCGCAAGGGGGGUCGUCUGCAUGGCCAAGGAAGAGGGAGCCACCUGGCACCUUUUAAGGAGGAUCCCACAAUAAGGAGCGUGUGACAAUGAGGAGUUUGGAAGUGUGGGUUAGUGAGUAGAGGAAGAAAGAAGGAAGAAAAAUGAAGAAACAAAGAGAAAAAAUGGGGAGGGGGGGUGCGGGGGGUAAAGAAGAUGAGAGAUGAGAGUGAGGGUGUGGAUACGUGGGAAGGGGAAGUAUGGCAUAAGAGAAAAGUAAAAGAAAAUAAAAUAAUAAUAAAAAUUAAGAUUUAAAUGGUAUAAGUAUAUCAAAACAUUCAAAUGUAAUUAGAUUUGGAUUUUAAAAAUAAAAUUAGACUUCAAAUUAAUGUAAAAAUAAUUUUGAACAAAUUUUAAGAUCUACACAUUUAUUAAAAUUUUAUAUAAUGAAAUAGUCUAUUAUUGUAAGAAGAUAUAUUUAUUUAUUAUUUUAUUAUUCUUAAAAUAUAGAUUUUGAUUGUUAUACGAUAUAUAAGCAAUGCCAAAGUACCCUUUUUAUAUAUUAAAAUUCUAUUUAUUAUGAAAAAUAUUAGAUAAAUCUUGAAUCUUAUUCAAGAUAUAUAUAAAAUUUUGUACUUGAAAAUUUUAUUAGAUUUCAGACUAUAGGAAAUGACAAAAGUUACAUAAUGCAAAGCGACGGAUGUUUUACUCGUUUUUAUGAGACAAUGGGGUGGCAAACAUCAUUAGUGUGUACAUAAAACCCAUGGAGAUAUUGAAAAAAUAAAAAUGAUAAAGAUCAAGUGGCAUAAUUAGUAUAUGUCUUUAUUUUUUAGCACAUUUUUAAGGAUUUUAUAUUUGUCGAUAUUACCACAUAAAUAAAAAUAUCUUUUAGUGAAAUGAUCAUUUUUACAUUUUCAUGAUAUUAUUAUUAUUUUAUGAUUGUCUUAUAAAAACAUUUUUAAUAUUUUAGUGGAUAUUCUUAAUAUUUCCUAUACUUUUAAUAUAUUCUUAUCCUAUAAUAUUAAUGAUUGUUGCUUAUUUUAUGCUAUUUACAUUGGAUAUGAAAUUGAUCUAAUUUAAAGCAACGAGCAUUUGAGAUAUCAUAAUAUGUAUUUAAUGUGAAUUUUAAAUACUUUUACAAUAUAUUUAGACUUUCUUAAUCUACCAUCACUAUUAUAUAAAAAUAUGAAAUUUUAUUUGAUAGAAACAAAAAGAAAGUGUCUUGACAUAUAAAAAUAAGUAAAAUAAAAAAUAAAUUUAAAGUUAAUAAAUUAUUUUUAUAUAUUUUUAAAUUUAUUUUUAAUUAAACUAUUUGUAAUUAAUUUAAAUUAUAUAUAAUUUUAUUUCAAAAUUUCAAUCAUAAACCAAAUUCCUUAACAAUUUUUUUCCCUUGAUUUAAUAUUGUCCGAACCAAUAUUGAAGGAACAAACCACGUACAACAUGAACCAUAGUCAAACAAGCCACGAAAAGAAAAGUACAACAUGAAGCAGAGUGAAACAAACCACCAAAAGAGAAGUACGACAUGAAGCAUAGUAAGAAAUAUGGAAAUAAGGGAGGAAAGGUACCAAAAACUAGAUUGGAAAUUUGAGAUCUAGAGAAGCACGUGUUCAAACAUUUUUUCCAAAUUCAGGUAAGAUGAUCCAUCUGGACCAGUGGUAGCCGCUUCUGCCGUAUGCUUCCACUCCAUGGUUUUCUUUUUCAUUUCUUUGCCUUUCUCUCCCUCCAUCAACUCCCUCACAAGCUUUGCAACUUCAUCCCUCUUAACAUCACUGUCUAUCUCCAUUCCUACGCCCCACUCAGUGCAGCAGUAACGACAGUUGGUUUGCUGCUCUGCAAAAAAAGGCCAACAAAUCAUAGGCACUCCAGCGCAUAAACCCUCGAUUAUGGAAUUCCAGCCGUUAUGAGUUAAGAAGCCGCCAAUGGCCUGGUGGGUGAGAACUUGCUCUUGAAGACACCAACCUGCUAGUAAACCCCUGUCUUCGGUUUCUGCCACGAAUUCUGGUGGCAGAAUGGCUGACUCACCAGACACGAGAUCUGGCCUAAGUAUCCACAAGAAGCUUUGAUUGCUAUUUGCAAGUCCCCAAGCAAACUCAAUCAGUUGCUGGGGAGUCAUGACUGUGAUGCUUCCAUAAUUAACGUAAACAACAGAGUUGGGUUCUUUGGAAUCCAGCCAUUUGAGACACUCGGGCUCUUCCUUCCACAGAUUUGAUUCAAUCAACUGUAGUUCGCUAUCGUGAAUCUGAUCCAGAAGUAGCUGAAGAGGAGCGAUGGUGUAGAUUGGGGGAUACAUGGGAGCAAUUGCAUCCAAAACCUCAUGCUCUAAAGCGUCAAACGUAUUGAAAAUGAUGGCAGAAGCCUUGCGAGCCCUUUCAAGCUCACCCAUGGCAAAGUCCAGCAUCACAUCAUCUGGAUCGGUAGUCCGAAUGAAGCUCGGGAGAUCCUUCAAACGGAUACCUUUCAUGCCCGGUAUCCAAUCGACAACAGUAUCCAAAUACCCAUUUGUUAGAUAACUCUCAUCUGCAUAUCACAGAAGAAGGAAAAAAUGAAAAAUCAGAGUCGGUAGGAGACUGGGAUUUGAAAAACUUGUAUUCAAAGCCGAACUUGGAAUAAUACCUUUGAGUGGUGUAAAACCCUUGUCGAUGAGACUGCGAUACUGCACAUAGGCCAUGAAGCCACAAGCACUAGCUGUCCAUAAAAGAAGGUCGGGAAUGCCGAGUUCUUGAGCAGCGUCUAAAGUGAAGCUCAUGAUAGCGUCAGAAAAUAUGCAAGUGACGGGAGGACCGUCGUGGUUGAGUUUGGCGAGAAGGCGUCUAAAGGGAGCCAAGCAGUUCUUUUUGGUGGAUACACAGAGGGAAGGAAUGUCUUGGGUUGCGUCGACGUCGGACGGGGGGAGACCAUCGGGAAUGGUUUCGAACUGAAAGGUGGGGAGACCACUGAGGCAGUUGGGGCCCUGGGCAUUGAGUAAGCGUGUGUGGUUGAACUCUGUGUUGACAAAGGUGAUACGAAAACCUCUGCAAUGGAGGAGCUUUGCUAGUUUUAGCAUAGGAUUGAUAUGGCCCUGAGCAGGGUAUGGAAUACAAACUGCAUGAGGCUUCUCCGAACCCAUUUUUGCACUGGGAUUGGGAUGCCCUCCCGAUACACUGAGCUGGAAAUAUUUUGGUAUCAUUCCCGUGCUGCAGUAGCGUCACCCACACUCUUUAUCUUCGAAUCAGAGUCAACAGGAAGGAUUAAUGUAUGCAAUAUCCCUGAUGGAAACAUUACUAUUUUUAGUUGGCUGCAAUUGAUUUUUAAUUUAUUAUUAUUCAUGUUAAAGGAAAAGCCCGCACCGGAGCCUGGUGACUUAUGUUUCAUUUUUCUUGUAACAAUUAAGUGACCGCUAUUCAUGAAAAGUACGAGAAAGAACGUGACAAACUAGGAUCCUGGCGUGAGCCUUUACCAUCUUCUUAAGAGAAUAAUGAACCACCUAUAUAUGCAUCACCAUUUGUGGAAGCUGAUGCUCUGUUUAAAAAUUUUCGACGGCUGCCCUCGUAUCAAUAUAUUGCGCUGGCAUGAGUCCAAAGCAUAUUUAUAUUUCCUAGUUAAAAUAUGAUGAUAAUUAUUUUCAAAACAAAUCUAUUUUCAAAUGCAAAAAAUUAAUGAAGAUUACUAACUUGCCCAUAGAACAACACAGUAUAUCUAUCCCAAUGACGGUAAACAUCUCCGAUCCGUCAGUCAGGAACAAGGCAUCUACCCUUCCACCUACGUUCGUAAUUACACCAUUUCGUUUUGUUUUUGUCUUUUAGUGAAACAUUAAGGUCAAAGAUAGCGUGUAUAUGUAGUUUUGUACUUCACGAGGACUCCUUCCAAGGUCCAUAUACCGAGAAAUCCUACGUCACUUUCCUAAAAACGAGGGGAAAAAUGGAACUCGGAGAACUCCGCAGCUGCCAAACUAAAUCAAAGGACUAAGUUAUGGUCCACGGAUUUAAUACUGAUACGAACGUUAUGAUCAUGCACCCUCAUAUUAUGAUCUUCAUCCAGCUCAUCCCUAAUGGGUCUCCUCCAAAUAUUGGCUUCAAACUUCUGUAACUGUCUUGCAUGGAUGAAUGAAAGCCAUGUUGACGGUAGAGGAAACGCAGUCAAGAAUUGACGAGCAGGAAACUCUUGCCACGUGGAAUGAUAGCAUCAGCGCGGAUUGCCUUGAAUAGUUGUGUGCAUCCUUACUCCUUACGCAUCAUCGUCGAUCGACUAUCUAAUAUUUAUUUUCCCUACAAAUUAAGCGGUUGAUGGGUGACAAUUGAACUACACUGCAGGCCCCGCAUAAGAAUAAAUUGAUGAUAUGGCCCUUCUUUUUUUACAAUAUCUUCUGAGUUCUGGCUUGACAUCGAAGUUGAAACAGAGUAAUAAAUUGAAUGGAUAACUUGUUGAUCACUCCAACAAACAAAAAGAAAAGAAAAGAAAACACAUUACCCCACAAAAUAAUAUAAGAGAAUUACACUACAGGGCGAUGGCCUAAUAAAAAAUAUUCUUAUUGAAAAUAUUAAUUACACAUGAAUAAAUGUCAAUAUAUAUAUAUAUAUAUAUAUAUAUAUAUAUAUAUAUAUAUAUAUAUAUAUAUAUAUAUAUAUAUAUAUAUAUAUUAUAUUUUCAUAUAUGUUGAGGCCUCGCGUCCCUGGCGAUUCACGUAGUUGCUGCGAAAUGGAUGGACGCACGAUUUCAACCAAUAUAGAUUCCUGGUUCAAUCGUUCCUGCAAAAGGCGUCCGGACAGGAUGUCCGAACACACCUUCCGAUGAUUUUGUCAGCCAUGGAAAGAGAGAUAAAUCAGUUGGCCUUUUCUAGGUAUCUCCAGCUUACCUUCCUCUUUGUGUGAAGGUUUUUAUAUAUAGUACCAGAAGCUUUGUCUCCCUCUUUAAUGGUAGAGAGAUAUUUUGGCUUGUCAUGAUGCUUUUAGGUGGUGGCAGGGCCAUCAUCACUCAUAGGGCGGCUGCCAGAGAAUGUGGGAGGCACCGCAGCUUGUCAGAGAUCGUGGGAAGUGACUUGCCGUCACUUCAUUCCUGUCAUCUCAUUCUGCAAGUGGCGGAAUGUGGGUCAUGACAGGCUGUUGUGAUGACGUGCAAGAUUUGCUUACUUCAGUCAAUGAUCCGGACGAACAUAUCCGGAUAGUAUAUGUCGGUCGUCCGGAUGCGAUAUGUCGAUUGUCCGGAUGUUAUGGUUGUGAGUGUUGUGUGCCUCUCCUUGAGGGAGUCCGGAUAGGAGAAGCGCGCCAUGUAUACUCUUGGGGAAAUUCGGAUGAGAUUGAUCCAGAUGAGAAUGUGUGCCACGUGUCAUCAGGAGAUGUGUGCCACGUGUUGGGGGGUCCCUACAAUAUAUAUAUACAAAAAGGAAAAACUUGUGCUAAAUUUACAUGAUAUUUAUACUUAGAUAUAAAAGACUUGUCCUACUAUGCCUAUUAUGAAUAUAUUUAAGUAUUUUCUUUCAAUUUCUUUAUUUAUUUUUUAUAUCACUAAAAAUAUUACAUACUAAUAUGUAUAAAUAUCAAAUAUAAUUUUUUUUUUAAUAUUUUCACAUAUAUACAAGAUAUUUGUACUAAAUGUAUAAGAGAAGAUAUAAGUUAUAAUGGAUUAUGCACGUUUACCUAUUGUAAAUAUAUUUUCGUAUUUUUAUGGAUAUUAAUAAAAAUGUGAAAAUGUUUUAUAUAUUUAAUAUAUAUAAUUGUCUUGUAUAUGUGUAAACAUAUAAAAAUAAUAAUUAUAUUUGUAUAAAGUUGUAUUUUUUACAUGCGUUCUUACUUGAUAGUGAGACUUGGUUUUUAUUUAGGAAGAAUUAUCUUUUGGGGGUAGAUGGGCCCCCAAAUUAACAAAAAGUCUAUAUAACUCUUCAAAUUGAGUUGAAGGAUAUGAAAUAGUAACGGACAAAUAUACCCUUUAAGAACAUAUAUAAAAUAUUUUAUAAAAUUAAGUUAAAUAAUUUUUUUUCAAUAAUUUUUUUUUCAAAGAUACUAAAUUAAAUAAAAGUAGUUUUCAAAAAUAUUAAAUUAAAUAUUUUUUUUCAAAAAUAUUAAAUUAAAUUAAAGUAUUUAAAAAAAUAUUAAAUUAAUUUUUUUUAAAUAUUAAAUUAAAUAAAUUUAUUUUUAAAAAAUAUUAAAUUAAAUAAAAGUAUUAAAUUACAUAAAAGUAUUUUUUUUAAAUAUUAAAUUAAAUAAAAGUAUUUUUUAAAAAUAUUAAUUUUUUUUCUCAAAAUCAACAAAGGGCAUUUUUGGAAAUAUUGAAGGAUGAUAUCCUUCAACUCAAUUUCCCUACUUUCAUUGGGUCUUGGGCUCAAUUUGAAGAGGUACAUGGACCUUUUGUUAAUUUGGGGGCCCAUCUACCCCCAAAACAUAAUUGUCCCUUUUAUUUAUGUAAAAAUUAAUUUUUAAAAUUUUGAUUUAGAGUUGUCACUUUGUAGACCCCCAUUUUGGGAGUCAUUCUUGCAGUCGAUGCUUGACAAGUGUCACCAUCUCGCAUGGCCACGUGUCACUCCCGGAUUAGUCAAUGUGGGAUCAAAAUAGUGGAAUUGAAGAAGCAAUCAGAAUAAGACACCUGUCAAGAGGAUAUUCUAAAAUCUUUAGGCAGUUAGAGAUAUUUUUUUGGAAGGGGGUCCCGCAGACCGUCAAGGGGCACAGAUGAGAGAGAAGGAAAGUGGUUGCAGAAGGAGUGUUGUAGGAAAGGUGGCUGCGACAGAGAUUGUUGAAAAGGCAAAUCCGGAAAAGGGGGGAGGGGACAACAUUGAGAGGGACAUAUGGGAGAAAAAGAGAAGAUCCGAAGAGGAGAAAGGAAGGAAAAGAAAAUCCGAGAAAGGAAAAGAAAAAUUGGGGGGGGGGAGGGGGGGGUGGUUUCGGAAAAAGGAGGAGAGAUCCAGAGGAGAGUUUGAGCUUGGAGGGCAAGCAGGGAGCAAAAUUCAUUGAGAGAACGAAAACUUGAUUCUCUUUGCUUGAGGAACCAGGUAUGUAUACCACCUUCCCCCAUCUCUCUUUAUUCACUGCUUUUCCUUGACAUUAUGCUGUUUGGGGUGGAUACUGAAGGCCACUGGUUUGUUUGUUGAGAGAUAAUCCUGCAUUUGUGUUUGCCAUUGUUGAUCUUAAUUUACUCUGCCCCUAUUGUGAUUAUGAAAUGCCCCGGAAUCAUGCAUGUGGUUGCAUUUGAUAUGGUUUACCCACCUGCUCAGAAGAUUCAUGGAUGAUUCAUGAAAUGGAUUUUCUGAGAUUUUUCUUUAUUUAUUCGUCUUCUUUCAUACUCUGUUUCUCUACUUCCCCUGUUUCUUGAUAUCCAUCCAUGGUAUGCAUCCAUUUUCUCAUCCCUGCUCGAAAGAGAUCCUAGAAAACCUAAAGUAGUUGUCAUGGCAGCAAAGCUCACCUCAUCAGCAUCCCCAUACCCAUUCGUUCAUCUAUCCACCUCUCUCUCUAGGUCGUCAUACCCAUUUCCUCACUCAAGCUUGCAAGAAUCAAGCAUCCUCCACCGCACCUAUCUUCCUCUCAUUCAUUCUCCAUCCCACUCUCUCGCUUACAUGGAGUCUCAUGGGUGCAUGCUAUCCUUCACUCUUUCGCAUACCCAUUAAAACCACUCACCCAAGCCUCCAUAUCCAUACGGCCCACCAAACCCGUUUCCCUCUCUAAUCUUUCACCUACACCCGGAAUCCUCCCCGCCGCCAUUCCAUCCGGGUGUCUCACACCCGGAAUUCCUCUUCGCCGCCAUUCCAUCCGGGUGUCCUACACCCGGAAUCCUCUCCGCCGUCAUUCCAUCCGGGUGUCUCACAUCCGGAAUUCUUUCCCCGAUGACAUUCCACCCGGACAUCUCACAUCCGGAAUCCUCCCUCCGCCAACAUUCCACCCAGACAUAUCACAUCCGGAAUCCUUCCCGGCCAACGUUCUACCUUAUCUGGAUGUCUCACAUCCGGAUCUGAAGGUCAAUUUCUUUCCACCUCGUGACCUUAAGCAUGUCCACCUGUGCAUGGCCGCCUUCCCCAAGUCCAACUAUGUAAAUGUUUUCUCUAAUUCAGGUUGUUUCAAAAUAAUUUCAAAUCAUCAAAAUUUUCUAUCCUUCAUCCUUAGCAUUUUUCUUCAGGUUUCAAAGGUCCACUUUUCAGUAUAACUUUGCCACCAUUUCUUCUUUCCGGUAGGCAAUCUUCACAAUCCCAUGAUUUUAAAAUGUUUUAAAGUAAGCAAAGAAUCAAAUUCUGUAACUCCGAACAAUGGAAUUUACGGAUUUGGUCCAUGCAAAAAUGAACUGGGCUUUGGUGGGGGCCCUACAUAUGUGACUUCACGACUAAUUGAUUGUUUGACUGAUUCAUUUACCAUGUAUGAUUGAUUUAUUCUGUUCCUUGAUAUGCGCGUAAUUAUAUAUAUUCAUUGUUCACUAACCUUGCUUCUUUAUAGCGCUUUAUUGGAUCGCUGCCCAGGUACGCAUCCAUAUCCACUUUGGUAAUUUUAUAUGCAUGUUUUGAUUUUCAUAUGUGCAUGAUAGUUCCGGGUAUUCAUUGAUUUCCUCAUCAAUUGCCAUGUCAGCUUCAUUUUAUUAGUAGAGACCCGUUUUUAGGGACUUAGAGGGGUGCUACGGUCUUUACCGUACCUUCCCGAUAAGUAACUUGACCCCCGAACCCGAUCUGAUUUUUCGUAGACCAACCUUUUUCAAAACAAGGAGUCACACUUAGAGUUUUUAUUUCUUAUUUUGUUUACCCUUUAAAAAUAAAACAAAAAUAAGUGGUUACUCCAAGUCAUUUUUUUUAACCAAUUAAAUCAUUGUUCAAAAUAAAAAUCGAGCUCACCAUUCGAGUGGGAAACGCAUUGAGCCGAAAUACGGGGUCCACACACUUAUUUUUGUUUCAUUUGUAAAAAAAAAAAAAAAAAAAAGAAAGUAUUAAGUGUGACUCUUAAAAACAAAAUAUAGGUUUAUGAAAAAUCAAGUUUCGAUUCGAACAUCAAGUUAUCUAUCAAAAGAGUACUAUGAUAACCAAAUAUUUUGCUAAAAAAAGAAUUAGGUCGUGUAACACUCCUCUAAACACUAAAAAUAGACUUUUACUAAUCAAGUUAAGGUAAAAAUAACGAUUAACUAAUUAAUCAAUAUACACCAAGAAUUGAAAGUCAAAGAAUAAAAACAAACCAUACAUGAAAAUAAAAAAAUAAGUAGGUAAACAAGAUAAGAUUGGGAAAGUACCUUAGCAUGAACGACCAAGCAUUUCAUAGGAAAUAUGGUGAGUGCAUAGUAACAAACACAAAAUAAUCUUAUGUAUCACAAUAGUAAGACGUGAGCGAUUAUCAUCCAAUAAAUAUAAAGCAUUUAGAAUCAAAAAUAAAAAUGGAGAAUAUCUCAUAUAUUAGUCCCACCGAUAUCCAAUUUACUUGGCAUGAAUUUAUUCUAUAAACUUCAUUUUCCUAAUAAACAUGAAGAAAGAAUCAGGGAAAUAUGAGGAAAUUUCAUUAUUUUUUUGAAAUAUAUAAUUUUUUUCAUGUUAUUAAAAAAUCAAGAGAAUCAAGAUAUUAUUGAAAAUAAGAGAAAAUAAUAUUUAGAAUGCAUGCCCAAAAAAAGUGGCAAAUUUUAUUGCCUAAAGAUAUCUAGGAUAAAAUUUAAAAGUGGUGACUAUUUCAGUUGAAAAUAGAUUUGAAAAUUUAAUUUAAAAACUGUAAACUCUCACAAAACGGAGGAGUGUCACCGGAAGAGAAGAGUGGAAGCGCUGAAGGUGGCCAAGCAAGCCGGGCAGAAGUGGGCCCCAGGGUGCAAGGUAUCGGUGAUUGUAGCCUCAGGGAAAAGUGGGACGACAAUUUUAAAAAAUAAUUUCUAAAUUACCGUAAAAAAAUAAUUUAUAAGUGAAAAAUCGUCUCUUUAAGAGACGAUUUUAAAAAAAUAAAAAUAUAAAAUAAAUCAAAAUGAGAAAUCAUCUUUUAAAAAAAUAAUUUCAAUAUAUAAAUAUAUAUAUAUAUAUAUAUGAAAAAUUCUCACUUAAAAGAAAAGAAAAAAAGAAUAAAGUGGGAAAUCCUCUCUUCAAAAUAUGAUUUCCAUACUUUUAAAAGUGAGAACAUCUUCAUGUUUAAAUAUAAUAAGUUUAAAUAUAAAUAAUUUAUUAUUUAAGUAUAUUUUUUCAAUUUCAAUCAUAAAUUGAAAUUUAAUAGUUUUUAAUUAAAUUUAAAAAUAAAAAAAAAUUAUAAUUGAAAUCUUAGUUAUUAAUUGCCGCUAAAAAAUAUACUAUUAUUUCAUUAAAGAUAAAUUUAUUAUAAUACAAAUAAAUUAAUAUCUUAAAAAAUAACAAAUUAAAUAUCUUAAAUUAAUAAAUUAUAUAAUUUUAUAUAUUAUUUAUAUAUUAUAUAAGUUUAUUAUUUUAAUAUUUUUAAUUUAUUAAUAAAUAAAAUAUUCAUUUAUAAUAUUUUUUAUUUAUCAAUUUAUGUUUGUUGAAGUAAUACUAGAUUUUUAAAUUUAAAUAUAAAUAAUUUAUUAUUUAAGUAUAUUUUUAAAUUUUAAUCAUAAAUUUUAAUUUAAUAAUUUUUAAUUAAAUUUUAAAUUAAAAAAAAUAAUUAACUAAAAUCUCAAUUGGCAACUGUAACUUUAAUUUAAAAUGAAAUCGUAGUUGAUAACUACGGCUUUAGUUCAAAAAAUGAAGACGCAGUUGAUAACUACGGUUUUAACUAAAAUAAUAAAAAAAAAUAUUUUUUUAAUAAUAUAAUAUUUACGUGCCACUAAAAAACAAUUUAAGUAUUAGUUAGAUGUUAUAAUUUUUUUUUUUAAAGGGUCAUUUUGACCCAAAACUCUAUUUUUAAAAUCUGGUUUUCAAAACAAUCAUGGAGGAUGAUGAGUUGUUCUCCAAAGACGUUCAAAUAAAUGUAUUUAUAAUUUAGAAAAUGGUAAAAAAAAAAAAACAAAAUGCAAGAAAAAUAAUAAAGAAAAGAAAAGUUUGACGAUGAUAAAAAGUCACCCCUAGGCUCUUAAUGUCAUUAGCUGUAAACAUAGAGUUUUUGAUUUUUCACAGCGAAAGACAGAUCCGCACUCAACCAGAUUAAUUUCAAACGCGCUAUUGAGUAUUGAGCUGGCAUUUGCUUGCUUUUCGCCUUUUCCCUUCCUUCUCGGCACUUUCAUUCAUACCCUCUCCCUCGCUCCUCUCACGCUGUUGGUCACACUCUCCCCACUGCCUAUUUUACUAUAUAUAUGAAACCCCCAAUUCAUCUUCUCCUCACUCCAAACCCCCACCAAAGCCAUCUCUACAGCUUAGCUUCACUGCACUCUCUUAAGUCCUAACUACCAUGGCCUCUUUCGUUCCUACUCAAUGCCUUUUACAACUCCUCUUUGUGGCUUCUCUGCUUCCAUUCAUCUCAGCAGCCAGGAGACUUGCUCAAGACCAGCAACCUCUGCUUCUUCAAUACCACAAUGGCCCUCUUCUUUCCGGAAAAAUCUCCAUUAAUCUCAUCUGGUACGGAAAGUUCAAGCCUUCCCAACGCGCCAUUGUUUCUGAUUUCAUUACCUCCCUCUCUUCCUCCAAAACCACCCCCCACCAACCCUCUGUUGCGGCGUGGUGGAAUACCAUCGACAAAUACUACCUCCUCAUUAAGUCCAAGAAAUCCACCUCCCUCGGUCUCUCCCUAGGCACCCAAAUCCUCGACGAGAACUACUCUUUGGGUAAAUCACUGACCAGUCGAAAUCUCAAACAGUUGGCAGCAAAGGGGCAGCAGAGCAACGCCAUUAACGUAGUCUUGACAUCUUCUGAUGUAGCCGUUGAAGGGUUCUGCUCCAGCAGGUGCGGAACACAUGGGUCUUCUCCCAGCUCCAAGACUGCUAAGGUUAAUGGCAAGAUCUCCAAGUUCGCAUACAUCUGGGUGGGUAACUCCGAGACUCAGUGCACAGGUCAAUGUGCAUGGCCAUUCCACCAGCCCAUUUACGGACCCCAGAGUCCACCCCUGUCCGCACCCAACAACGAUGUGGGUAUGGAAGGUAUAGUUAUGAACCUGGCUAGCCUCUUGGCUGGAACUGUUACGAACCCCUUUGGAAAUGGAUACUACCAAGGUUCCGCAGAGGCUCCCCUGGAGGCUGCAUCGGCCUGCCCUGGGAUUUAUGGGAAGGGCGCGUACCCUGGCUAUGCCGGAAAGCUGUUGGAGGAUCCCACCACAGGUGCUAGCUAUAAUGCCAAUGGUGUGAAUGGGAGGAAGUACCUGCUUCCUGCAUUGCUUGAUCCUUCAACUUCCACCUGUUCUACUCUGGUCUGAUAGACUGAUACUACUAUGCUUCUCUAAAUUCAUUUAGUUGUAUAGCACGGAGACGAUAACCGAUUCUUUGUUUGUAUUUGAUUAAUUACCAUUAUGUAUUCUUUUUCCCGUCUGAAUAAAUGAAAUUCCAAUGUUUUCUUUCAUAUCCAACCAGUUCAGCCUUCCUCUGAUAUUUUUUCUUCACAUCCCAAUCCCAACAAAAGCCGCACUGCGCCCUCCUCUGCUAUUCAAACUCGUAUGUGGUCAAAAUCAUUAAUGAGAUCUACCAUUGGAGAAAGCUUUAUUAUAAUAAGGAAAAUUUUAAGCAAAACCUUUAGGACAUGGAAUGAUCUGCUGCUUUUCUCGUCCUACAUUUUUAAUUUAAGACUUAAAUUUCCAACCUCGUCUACAUGCCAUCAUUAUUUAUUCAGAAGUUGCAAUUGAAGAAACGUUUAUAGCACGUUUUGCAGGAAUAUUAUUAAUAAUUUAAGUAUGUAACAUUCUCAAAAGGCAGUCUAAGAAGAUGUAUACUUCCAACCUUGGAUUUUGUCACAAUUAUUCAUGGCCCAGCCUCCACGUGAAAUUCUAAUAGAUGUUCAAUAAUUCAAACGGAAAUGUGCAAUAGAAUAUGUCAACCCUUCAAUGUGAGGAAGGUUUGGCUAAAAUUUUAGCUUAAAUUAAGAUUUUAGAGAAUAUAACAUCAUAAUUUUUUUUCAUGUUUGUCGUAAGGAAGAAAUAAAAAGGGCCUUAUCACGUUGGUGAUAUAAAUUUUCUAAUUUAUUUCAAUGAUUUCUUUUUUCUCAUGAAAAAAAAAAUAAAAAUCCUCAUAAUGAAUGCAAGUUGGUUUUCGAGAUAAAAAUAUGUUGGCUAGAUGUGUAAUAUAUGAAAAAUUAGAAAAUAAAAUAUUCAACAAAUUUUCUCCUGUUAAUUCAACAUUUCUCAAUAUUUUUAUAAAUUUAAAAUUAUUACUUUUAAAAUAUUAUUUAUAAAUUAAUUUAAAAUAUUUAGUAUUAUUAUUCUAUAACAAAAUGACCUAUUGAUUUUUCUUUAACUUUUUAAUAUCUAAUAAAAAUAAAAUAUUAAAUCAACAAACUAUUUAAUACUUAAUAUUAUUAAAUACUAUUUAAUUCUAAAUUCUAUUUAAAAUUAACUAAAAAGAAAAAGAAAAUAUCAUCUUAAUCAUGUCAUAUCAAUUCUCAAAAUUAGAGUUUGAGGGCUUAAUUUUUUUAACCUGGCAUCAUUUGGAUUGAUACAACUUUUAUAAUAAAUAAAUUUUUGCCAAAAAGAGUACAUAUAAAAAUAAUUUAAUUUCACACAUAAAGAAUAUUGUGGGGUCUAGGUCUCUUUGUAAAAAGUUACUUUAUAAAAGUAUUUUCUUAACUUAAUUUAUAGAAAAAGCUCCUAAAUCAUGAAUCUCUCAUUUUUCAUAUGUUUAAUAAAAAAUUUUUAUAAAAUUUCUUGAAUUGUUUGAAACAUAUGCUAUAUGAUUUCAAUGAUAUUUCAAGUAAAACCUUGAUCAACUAACUUUCUAGAAGACAUAAAAUUUUUAGAAAUCUAGAACUUUAGGAGUAGCAAUAACAAAGAUAUUUAAGUGGCAUACAAGUCAGAUUGUUUUUGAGGAGUUUCAAACUUCAAAUCAUAACCGGUCCAAAUGUUAUACAUUUGAGCAGGAAACAGAAAGACUGUCACUAAUUUGGGGUGUUAGUUUAGCCAAAUUAAGCUAGGGCCAUAAGAUGUUUGGGACCACCUCGAUUUUAAGUCAUUUUGCCAACAACUAUUAAGGCAUUAACAACUAACUAGGCAGGCCGGACCCUUAUCCAUUUCUAUAAAAGACAUCAUCUGUAUGGCUACCGACCUAAAUUGAUUGCAUGCCAAAUGAACAAAUUUCAUACCCAAUAAUCACAUGUAACUUCUAAUUAGCUGAGUGUAAUUGUUUUGUCAUUAAAAUUGCUGUCCCGGUCCCAUCACAUGGUGCGAAUACAUCGUGAUUUGUUAACUUAAUUGGAAAUAUUACAAUCCAAACAACUAAGAUUGUGGGUAUUAAUGGAAAAUCCAAUAUUGCAAUGUUGAUGGUUGCAACUUGCAGCUUGGAUCUUAUACUUAUAGUCUCACACUCGUUUCACACGUAGUCGAUAUGAUCAUGAAUAACGGGGUCCAUCCCCGAGGGCCCCGUGAUAACAACAGAGCACUGAGCACCUAAAAAUUAAAAAUGGUGUGCAUGUAGCCGCCGCAAGGAAAACCAUGCCAGUGUUUGGAAUAAUUUUGGCUUUUGUGUCUUUCAAGCUAGCCGCUUCUCCAGAGAGAUGAAAGCACGGUAUCGAUCGAAUCAAGUGGAUCAGGGCCCGGAGUUUUAAAUGGCGGGUCGGCGCACACUGAUGUUUUGAGCCAUCUAAAACCAUGAGCAUAUUGAUUCCUUGAGUUAUUUAGAAAAUGGGGAUGUGCUUUCAGCGUAUACAAACUCACCUGUGACUAUCUUACUCUAAAGCAAAUAAUCACGGACGAGUGCUAACCCUAGGAUCGUUAUCUUCACAUGCAAGGAUUACCUACUUGUUAUUCCCCCUGUCCCUUGACUUUGGGUUUUAUAUUUUUGGACGAUCAGAAAGAAGGAAACACCUACCCUUGAUAACCACGUCAUCAGGCACAACCUGGCGAAAACUGCCACGCGUUUGACACUAAAAGUGGUCAAUUAAUCAACGCGGCACGAUUUCAAUGUUUCUUCCAUCACUCCCUUUUGGCCAGCGCCACACGCGCACUCCAUGAUGACACCACCUUUCUAUGACUAUAUAAGUAUCGCAACAGUCGACUCUUCCUUCACACUCAUUCCUCACCAAUCCAGCUUUUCACACUCUCUGCAUCACCUUCACCCCACUACUUUACCUUCUCAAUGACUUCUACUUACCAUUUCUCCAUCUUUGUUUCACUUCUCCUACUCUCCUGCCUUCCCAACCUCACCUCCGCCACACCUCGAAAACUCUUCUCUCUUGUUCAAGAGCAACCUCUCAUUCUCAAGUACCACAACGGGCCACUCCUUAAGGGCAACAUCACCCUCAAUCUCGUUUGGUACGGAAACUUCUCCCCCAUCCAACGCUCCAUACUCGUCGACUUCCUCCAGUCUCUCAAUUCCCACACCACCACGCCCCACUCCGUCUCAUCGUGGUGGCAGACCAUCCAGAAGUACAAAGGAGUCUCCUGCACCCUCGCCGUUGGGAAUCAGAUCCUCGAUGAAGACUACUCUCUAGGGAAGUCAUUGCGAAGUUCAGACAUCAUUUCCUUGGCUUCUAGAUCAAACCAAAGGAGCGAAAUAACCGUGGUGUUCACAUCGGCAGACGUGGCGGUAGAAGGGUUCUUCAUGAGCCGGUGCGGGACUCACGGGUCAACUCAGAGUAAGUGGGCCUACGCGUGGGUGGGUAACUCGGAGACUCAGUGUCCGGGUCAGUGCGCAUGGCCAUUGCACCAGCCCAUGUAUGGACCACAGACUCCGCCGCUGGUGUCUCCAAACGGGGACGUGGGAAUUGACGGAAUGGUGAUCAAUUUAGCGACUGUUUUGGCGGGAACGGUGACUAAUCCGUUUGAUAACGGCUACUUUCAAGGAUCGGCUAGCGCGCCGUUAGAGGCGGUGACGGCUUGUACAGGUAUAUUCGGGACAGGAGCUUAUCCAGGAUAUCCCGGCGAAGUUCUGGCGGAUGGAACGACUGGGGCUAGCUAUAAUGCUGUUGGGGUGGAUGGGCGUAAAUACUUAUUGCCGGCGAUGUGGGACCCUCAAACCUCCACCUGCAAGACAUUAGUCUGAAGCCUGAACCUAAUGGAUGAUUUGUGUUCUGUGUGGUACCAGCAAUUGUUUGUUUGGAGGAGCUUUGUACUCCCAGCUUUGAAGUUUGUUCUUUUUUUUCAUCAACCUUAUCAUAUGUAAAUGUUUAUGUAUCAUUAAUUAAAUUUGUUUCAUUAGUCAACCAAUCCUCUGUCUCCUUUGCCUUCUAAAAAGUUUCAAAUUUUUUCUAACAAUUUUGGGUCAUUAGGUUUUGGUGGAAGUUUCAAGUUGACUAACCAGUUAGCUUCUGGAUUUAACUUAACCCCAUAUUAAGCUGAGGAACCAAUCUGGUUUUAGCACAUGUGCAUUGAUUGGUAUUCUUUAUAAUGGAAUCUAACUGCUUUCUUUUUUACCCCAUGAGAAGAUUUCACCAUAUUGUCCUCCAUUCUUGCACACAACCGUAUCAUCUGACUGAAUUUUCUAUGAAAUAAUAAUUAUUUUGGUUUUUUUUUUUUUCAUUUUUCUUUUUUCUAACACAUAUAAAGUAAAAAAAGAAAAAAUUAUUAUUAAAAUAAAUUACAAAAUUUAUUUACAAUAGAAUUAAAUUAAAAAAAUUAAAGAGAUAGGACGAAACCGGAAAUUCUCAUAUUUGUUUCAUUCGAAUCUUUUUAGGGUAGAGGAAAAUAUGUUUAAACGAUGGAAUGGGAUUGGGAUAGAGUAACAAUUCGAAUCCACCUCGCUAUCAUUCCUGGAUGUUUGAGCAAUGGGUCUGGUCGAGCAGCCCGACCUGUGGACACUGGGAUCCUGGAGCACAGCGCUGUCCUUCUAGUUAAUAAGUUGGAAUCAUGGUUCGACUUGGUUUCUGUUCACGUCGUAGCCAUUUGCGAUUUGCUCAGUAACACUGGUGACUUAAUCAUGGGCCGUGGGCUGCUUUCAAGACUUGGGCUUUUCAAUUGGAUUCGGCCCAAUUGGGUUUGGACUCAGGUGAUGAAUGAGCCGGCCCAAUCUGGAAAAUGUUGCAUUUAAAGUUUGGACCAUAUUAUCUGUUGGAAGGAAGUUCUGAUUUCUUAAAAUUUUUAUGUUUUUGAAGGUUUAAGGAGUGAGGACUUGAGUGUGGAUUCAUCCCAGAGCAUAGUUUGAUGGAAUGGCUGUGUACAUUCGCCUGAUUCUUUGUAAUAUUAUGUAAAAAAAAAAAUUGAGAUUAAAGAAAAAGUGAAAAACACAUAUGACCAAGCUGAGGCGCUGAAAAGAAAAAAGAAACAAGGCUUUUUAAGGCAGAAGACGGUGAUCUCCUCUCAGUUUCCAGUUUCCGCCAUCCACAGCCAAAUCUCAUGGAUCCCCAUCAACACCAACCCAUUGGACAAGCAGACGAAACCUCACCCCCUCCCUCCAACACCGCUACCACUUCAUGCCGCUGCUGCGGCGGCCCCACCACAUGCCCACCUCCACCGGCAUGGUCCGACAUCUCUCCGCCACCCCCCUACCGCCCCAUCCGCGCCCCCGCCAUCAACCUUCCUCCUUCCAACUCUCAACAAGCUAUCAUCCUAGCCCCCGUUCCUCAAGCCCAGAAGACCCCCGUUGUCUCUCCGCCCUAUCUUUUCCAAAUCCCCGUCAAGCGAAUCCAGACCAGACGACAUUCGCCAUUUCCAUGACUCCGAUUCCGGGAAGAACUUCUUAGGUUUCGUCGUUUCCCUUAGCGAAUCCAUUCGCUCCCACAAAAUUUCCGACCCUUGCCACCAAUCACCAAUCCUCAAUUCUAUUCUCUCCAUCCUUCAAUCUCUAAUCGACUGGGUCGACGAAAUACCUCCCGUUCAACAAUCUUCCCGUUACGGUAAUCUCUCUUUUAGGGUUUGGCAAAGUCGGUUGUUCGAUAAUAGCGAGCAACUGAUGCUCCAAUUCCUCCCCGAUGAUCUCCGGUCGGCUACCGUCGAACUCGUCCCUUACUUUGCCGAUAGUUUUGGGAAUUCGAGUCGAAUCGAUUAUGGAACCGGUCAUGAGACCAAUUUUGCUGCGUGGCUUUAUUGUUUGGCUAGAUUAGGGUUGCUCAAGGAAGAGGAUUACCAGGCUCUUGUUUCUAGGGUUUUUGUGAAGUACCUUGAAUUGAUGAGGAAAUUGCAAUUCGUCUAUUGCCUUGAACCUGCGGGAUCCCAUGGAGUUUGGGGUCUGGACGACUAUCAUUUUCUGCCAUUUAUAUUUGGGUCGUCGCAGCUGAUCGAUCACAAGUAUAUGAAACCCAAGUCAAUUCAUAAUCAGGAUAUUCUGGACAACUUCUCCAAGGAGUAUAUGUAUAUUUCUUGCAUUGCAUUUGUGAAGCAGGUGAAGAAAGGCCUAUUUGCAGGGCAUUCCCCAUUGUUAGAUGAUAUUAGUGGUGUAGCUAAUUGGAACAAGGUGAAUAGUGGGAUGCUCAAAAUGUAUAAAGCUGAGGUGUUGGAGAAGGUUCCAAUUAUGCAGCAUUUCCUAUUUGGGUGGCUCAUCAAAUGGUAUGAUCACUGUUAAUGAGUAAUUAGCCCUGUAUGUGAUUCAUGCAUUUUUAGUUCAUUAUAAGUCAUCCACACUUUGCAUCAUGUUUAAUUGGGAAUCUUAAAAUUAUUACGAGUUUUUAUGGUGUUUUAUGAGCAUAAUCGUUAUAUUUAUAUCGUCUAUAUCAGUAACCUAUAUGGAUAUUUGGUGCUAAACCUGAUAUUUUUGGUCCCUGGAUAUUCAUCUAUUAUUUCAAUGACAAUGUUGGUUGAGGAACAACUCUAGUGUUGAUACCUUGAUCCAUGGGUUUUGUCAGGCUGAGACUUUCAUUAGCUAUUUGAUCCUCACCACCACUGAUUGCUAUACUGAAAUUUUUUUACCUAUGAUUUCUGUUAUCAUUUUAUUUAAAGCAUAGAACCCUACUUGUUAGCUAUAUGAUGUAGAAGUGAUGCACUGAGUCAAUGUUCAUGAUGAAAUAGAACCAAAGAGAUUGGCAUUAUGUUGGGUUGGUCCAUUUUUUUGGAUUCAUUAAAUCUAUCAAAAAUAAAUAAAAUUUGGAUUCAUUAACCAAGUUACUACAUAUGUUCCUUUGAUAUUUAUUAUUUGAGUAAUGUGUGUACAAACUACAAUAAAUAUCAGCCUUUUCAUAAAAAUUUUGCUUGAGUUUUCCUUAUCUCUGCACUUUUAACAUGUGUUAAUCUUUCAACGGUCUGCUUUAGUCCUCAUUCUAAGCUUGUUAAUGUGCCUUUACUUCAAACAUCUUUUCCCACCUUCUGAGUCAUUUCUUUUAAGUCAUGUAUCUCAUCUUAUAGAAAUUCAAGUGUAAUCUAAUGUCUUGAGCCAUUUUAAUUAUUUUAGUUUGAUUUGAUUUAAAAAAAAACUUUAAUGAUCAAAACUUUCAAAUUAUAAUGCAUUUGGCUAGUGAAUAUUACUUAUAAGCCCAAUGUCUCUAGACAAAUAUUUCUGGGUUUUUAAUACAUCUCAUGAGUUCCAUUUGGUAUUCUAGCCCUUUUAGCUAAGUGGUUGCAUUUCUACAUGGGAGGUCUGAGAAUCUCAGAAAGCUAAAACUAAAACAAAGUGAUUUAGUUAGUUAGUGCUUAUAUUCUGACUACUGGUUGUGUAAUAAGCUAAAACUAAAACAAACUCUGAUUUUGUGCCUGACAGCUUGUGCAGACGCUGGUAUAGUGUUUCCUCCAUUUCCAUCAACAACAAAGUCACCAUACCAUACCGGGCUUAAGGGAGGAAACAACCAUGGAAAACUGCUCUGAAGCCCUAAGAGUUUCAAUAAACUUCUGAACAGCCCGUGAUGCAUGAAUUCUUAACCAAGUCUCCAGCUAACACUGCUUGGAGACUCUAAUACCCAAAGUUGACAGAGAUAAGGGCUAAGAUUGUUUUACAGACAGUGAUAUAACAUGCUCAAGGUGAAUGUAAGAUGAGAUAUUCCUGGAUUUAUUAGGAUUGCCAGAAAGUCGAGGAGACUGAACAUUGAAGUAUGAACUCUAUGUGGAGAUGGUGCAAUUCCAGGGGGUUGUGCCCAGAGAUUCAAUGUGUCUAGGCUUCUUUCCCGGUAUACGGAUCAGCAUGUCAUUGCAACAAGCACAGAUUCCAGAAGACCACUGAGAUGGACUAUCACUGGUGUGACGAUGAACAGAGAGGUCACUGUAAUGAGGAAUAAUCUCUAUAUCCUAAUCUGACUGUCCUAAAGGAAUAUAGGGGGUGGUACAUAACUGAUGAUGCAUCUGAUCGGUCAUUACUGGGCUGUGGCACAUGAUGCCAUUCUGAAGCAGGUGGCAUGCUCUUGUUAUCAUUCGACUGAGGAAAGACUGAUGGCACAGAUUGUCCUUUGGCAACCCUCAAUAGAAGCAUAAGUGCGUUUUCGAGGCUCUCCAACAAGUUCAUCAACAUGAGCAGGAGGGAGGUCUUUUAAAGUGUUUUGGUUGUUUUUCCCAUCAAUAGGAGUGGUUCUAUACAGGGGUGAGGGGAGCAAUGACCCAUCUAAAGGUACGUACCUAAAUGACUUUUUUCUAAGAGGAACCCAAAGCCCCCAUUGGUUGGACUAGUUGUCUUGGGUUGUAUUUAACUAUGAUACUCCUUUGGUUAUUUCCUUCUUUGAUAGACAAGGAUAGCACAAAAUUCGUGAUAAUCAAAUAUGAAAUUGUCUAAUGCGUGAUAAAGUUUAAUUCAAGACCUUGCAAAAUUCAAAUAUGCACUUUCCAUCCACAAGAUUUAGCAAACUGAUGGGGCCUCUACCUUCUCUGUACCCUCCAACCGUACUCUGGCGUUUUGUGCUAUGGCACUAUAGACCUUCCAGGCUUUUAGUGCUUCAGGGAAUCCCAUUAUUCAUCUUCUAACCAUAUUUAAGAAAAUAUUUUGUUUUUUGUUGUGCUUUUUUAAGUGGUAUUUGCUAUCAACUUAGUGAUACGAGUCUUUCUUAUCUUGAGAUGUUUCCUUUCAAGGCAAAAAACCUAAAACAAAAGUUUGAAGAGCAACCCUUUUACAUAUUUUUUGGACAGAACGAAGAGAAGGAAAACAAAGGUCUUUUGAUAACGUAGAGUAAAUGUAUCUUUCUUUAACAAAUUCUCUUAUUUGUAAUUCUUUCUCAAGAAAGAUUUUUUCAGGUGAUAUUUGUUUUUUUAACUUUUUACUGAAAAUAAUUUAUUUUUAAAAUUUAGGUUGUUUGUUUUUCUAUUUUUUCAUGACUUAUUAUAAAUUUUUUACUAAUUAGAAAAAACUAAAAUAUAUAACUUUUUUUGAAUAAAAAAAAAUAAUAUAUUGAGUUUUUUUACUUUUUAAUAUUUAAUAGAAAUAAAAUACUAUAAAAAUAAAUAACCUAAUAUUUAACAUUAUAAACAUUAUAGUUUUAUUUAGAAUUAAGUAAAAAAACAAACAUCACCUUAGUAUCUUUGCUAAGUGAGGAAAAUUGUUUUUUUAGUCCUCUCCCUAUACAAUGGUUUACCUCGGUGCAUUUUUAUUUUUUAUUUUUUUAUAAAAUUCUUUUCAUUUGCCUACAUUAAUUUGGAUCUACUCAACUAUAUUUACAUGUCCUUCUGAUGUUUUUCUAAAUGCUUUUGCAGGAAGUGUAUAUAUCACCAAAAGUUAGGGAGAGAAAACGACGAACUGCGGUGGUGCGACGGGUUAAAUGAGAUUGCAUUUAGGCUGGCGUUCUGCAGCUUAACCCAACUGAAACUUGAUCGCAUAGUGACUAUCAUCAUUAUUGAUCACCGAAAACUUCGGUAUGUAUAGGCCUAUUGACACUGACGCUGAUACAAUAGUCAUAAAUAUUAUUUAUUGUUAUAUGUCUUCGCACACAGAGGACAUAUUUUCUGAUCAACAAGUGGCAAUGGCAUCUAGUUAACAUAAUUUUUGUAACAUAUAUCACAAAUGUGAUUCAUCACUCUUCCCCUUUGGAGAAGUAGUUGUGUGAUAGUGCAGCACCCCAUAAAGAGAACGCAAUGCUAGAGAAAAAAUUGGUACCUGUUUUUAUGAGACAAUGGGGCGGCGAACAUAUAUAAAAAAGAUAUGAACCCAUAGAGAUAUUGAAAAAAAUAAAAACGAUAAAGAUAACGUGGUAUAAUUAGUGUCCAUAUAUUUGGCACAUUUUUAAUGAUUUUAUACUUUUCGAGAUCGCCACAUAAAUAAAAAUAUCUUUUAGUCAAAUGAUCAUUUUUACAUUUUCAUGAUAUUGUUAUUAUUUUAUGAUAUGUCUUCUAAAAGCAUUUUUAAUGAGAAUUUUAAAUAUUUUUACAACAUAUUUAACAUUCUUAAUCUAUCAUUAUUAUUCUAUAAAAAUAUGAAAUUUUAUUUCAUAAUUGAAGUAAGAAAACAAAAACAUGUGUCUUAAGGAAAGUAAAAGAAAAAAAUAAGUAAAAGUAAAAAGUAAAUUUAAAAUUAAUAAACUAUUUCUAUAUAUUUAUUUAUUUAUAAUUAAAUCAUUUAAAUAUAUAUAAAGUUGUCAAAUUAAUUUAAAUUAUGUGUAAUCUUAUUUCCAAAAUUCUACCAUAAACCAAACCCCUGAACAUCUUUUUUUUUCCUUUAUUUAAUAUUAUUGUCUGAAACAAUAUUAAAGAAACAAACCACAACAUGAACCAUAGUAAGAAAUAUGGAAACAAGGCAGGAAAGGUGCAAAAAACUAGAUUGGAAAGUUGAGAUCUAGAGAAGCACUUGUUCAAAUAUUUUCUCCAAAUUCAAGUAAGAUGAUCCAUCUGGACCAGUGGUAGCCACUUCUGCCCUAUGCUUCCACUCCAUGGUUUUCUUUUUCAUUACUUUGCCUUUCUCUCCCACCAUCAACUCUCUCACAAGCUUUGCAACUUCAUCCCUCUUAACAUCACUGUCUAUCUCCAUUCCUACGCCCCACUCAGUGCAGCAGUAACGACAGUUGGUUUGCUGCUCUGCAAAAAAUGGCCAACAAAUCAUAGGCACUCCAGCGCAUAAACCCUCAAUUGUGGAAUUCCAGCCGUUAUGAGUUAAGAAGCCGCCAAUGGCCUGGUGCGUGAGAACUUGCUCUUGAGGACACCAACCUGCUAGUAAACCCCUGUCUUCUGUUUCUGCCACGAAUUCUGGUGGCAGAAUGGCCGACUCACCAGACACGAGAUCUGGCCUAAGAAUCCACAAGAAGCUUUGAUUGCUAUUUGCAAGUCCCCAAGCAAACUCAAUCAGUUGCUGGGGAGUCAUGACUGUGAUGCUUCCAUAAUUAACGUAAACAACAGAGUUGGGUUCUUUGGAAUCCAGCCAUUUGAGACACUCAGGCUCUUCCUUCCACAGAUUUGAUCCAAUCAACUUUAGUUCGCUAUCGUGAAUCUGAUCCGGAAGUAGCUGAAGAGGACCAAUGGUGUAGAUUGGGGGAUACAUGGGAGCAAUUGCAUCCAAAACCUCCUGCUCUAAAGCGUCAAACGUAUUGAAAAUGAUGGCAGAAGCCUUGCGAGCCCUUUCAAGCUCACCCAUGGCAAAGUCCAGCAUGAUAUCAUCUGGAUCGGUAGUCCGAAUGAAGCUCGGGAGAUCCUUCAAACGGAUACCUUUCAUGCCCGGUAUCCAAUCAACAACAGUAUCCAAAUACCCAUUUGUUAGAUAACUCUCAUCUGCAUAUCACAGAAGAAGGAAAAAUGAAAAAUCAGAGUCGGUAGGAGACUGGGAUUUGAAAAACUUGUAUUCAAAGCCGAACUUGGAAUAAUACCUUUGAGUGGUGUAAAACCCUUGUCGAUGAGACUGCGAUACUGCACAUAGGCCAUGAAGCCACAAGCACUAGCUGUCCAUAAAAGAAGGUCGGGAAUGCCGAGUUCUUGAGCCGCGUCUAAAGUGAAGCUCAUGACAGCGUCAGAAAAUAUGCAAGUGACGGGAGGACCUCUGUCGUUGAGUUUGGCGAGAAGGCGUCUAAAGGGAGCCAAACAGUUUUUUUUGGUGGAUGCACAGAGGGAAGGGAUGUCUUGGGUUGCGUCGACAUUGGACGGUGGGAGACCAUCGGGAAUGGUUUCGAACUGAAAGGUGGGGAGACCAUUGAGGGAGUUGGGGCCCUGGGCCUUGAGUAAGCGUGUGUGGUUGAACUCUGUGUUGACAAAGGUGAUACGAAAGCCUCUGAAAUGGAGGAGCUUUGCUACUUUUAGCAUAGGAUUGAUGUGCCCCUGAGCAGGGUAUGGAAUGCAAACUGCAUGAGGCUUCUCCAUGGAACCCAUUUUUGCUUUGGGAUGCCCUCCCGAUACAUCUGCCUC